Molecule: transfer RNA, 72 nt
Filed under: Camelus bactrianus (Bactrian camel)
Lineage: Eukaryota; Metazoa; Chordata; Mammalia; Artiodactyla; Camelidae
Also listed under: 2 other names
Rfam family: tRNA
About the family: Transfer RNA (tRNA) molecules are approximately 80 nucleotides in length. Their secondary structure includes four short double-helical elements and three loops (D, anti-codon, and T loops). Further hydrogen bonds mediate the characteristic L-shaped molecular structure. tRNAs have two regions of fundamental functional importance: the anti-codon, which is responsible for specific mRNA codon recognition, and the 3' end, to which the tRNAs corresponding amino acid is attached (by aminoacyl-tRNA synthetases). tRNAs cope with the degeneracy of the genetic code in two manners: having more than one tRNA (with a specific anti-codon) for a particular amino acid; and 'wobble' base-pairing, i.e. permitting non-standard base-pairing at the 3rd anti-codon position.
Source: Rfam by way of RNAcentral
UGCAGUAUAGCUCAGUGGUAGAGUGCAUGCUUAGCAAGCCUGAGGUCCUGGGUUCAAUCCCCAGUACCUCCA